GCGACAGGACGGAAAGACCCCGUGGAGCUUUACUGUAGCCUGAUAUUGAAAUUCGGCACAGCUUGUACAGGAUAGGUAGGAGCCUUUGAAACGUGAGCGCUAGCUUACGUGGAGGCGCUGGUGGGAUACUACCCUAGCUGUGUUGGCUUUCUAACCCGCACCACUUAUCGUGGUGGGAGACAGUGUCAGGCGGGCAGUUUGACUGGGGCGGUCGCCUCCUAAAAGGUAACGGAGGCGCUCAAAGGUUCCCUCAGAAUGGUUGGAAAUCAUUCAUAGAGUGUAAAGGCAUAAGGGAGCUUGACUGCGAGACCUACAAGUCGAGCAGGGUCGAAAGACGGACUUAGUGAUCCGGUGGUUCCGCAUGGAAGGGCCAUCGCUCAACGGAUAAAAGCUACCCCGGGGAUAACAGGCUUAUCUCCCCCAAGAGUUCACAUCGACGGGGAGGUUUGGCACCUCGAUGUCGGCUCAUCGCAUCCUGGGGCU
RNAcentral lists this ribosomal RNA (483 nucleotides) under Staphylococcus aureus. RNAcentral's name for it is "partial 23S ribosomal RNA". It matches the Rfam family "Bacterial large subunit ribosomal RNA", at positions 2072 to 2554 of the family's 2925-position model. The record is from RNAcentral. Lineage: Bacteria; Bacillati; Bacillota; Bacilli; Caryophanales; Staphylococcaceae.